ACCUUACCAGGUCUUGACAUCCUCUGAAAACCCUAGAGAUAGGGCUUCUCCUUCGGGAGCAGAGUGACAGGUGGUGCAUGGUUGUCGUCAGCUCGUGUCGUGAGAUGUUGGGUUAAGUCCCGCAACGAGCGCAACCCUUGAUCUUAGUUGCCAUCAUUAAGUUGGGCACUCUAAGGUGACUGCCGGUGACAAACCGGAGGAAGGUGGGGAUGACGUCAAAUCAUCAUGCCCCUUAUGACCUGGGCUACACACGUGCUACAAUGGACGGUACAAAGAGCUGCAAGACCGCGAGGUGGAGCUAAUCUCAUAAAACCGUUCUCAGUUCGGAUUGUAGGCUGCAACUCGCCUACAUGAAGCUGGAAUCGCUAGUAAUCGCGGAUCAGCAUGCCGCGGUGAAUACGUUCCCGGGC
RNAcentral lists this ribosomal RNA (410 nucleotides) under Bacillus sp. (in: firmicutes). RNAcentral describes it as "bacterial SSU rRNA". It matches the Rfam family "Bacterial small subunit ribosomal RNA", at positions 968 to 1379 of the family's 1533-position model. The record is from RNAcentral. Lineage: Bacteria; Bacillati; Bacillota; Bacilli; Caryophanales; Bacillaceae.